RNAcentral lists this ribosomal RNA (260 nucleotides) under Mycobacterium sp. ISO952_OTU181. RNAcentral's name for it is "partial 16S ribosomal RNA". It matches the Rfam family "Bacterial small subunit ribosomal RNA", at positions 29 to 289 of the family's 1533-position model. The record is from RNAcentral. Lineage: Bacteria; Bacillati; Actinomycetota; Actinomycetes; Mycobacteriales; Mycobacteriaceae.
ACGAACGCUGGCGGCGUGCUUAACACAUGCAAGUCGAACGGAAAGGCCCUUUCGGGGGUACUCGAGUGGCGAACGGGUGAGUAACACGUGGGUGAUCUGCCCUGCACUUUGGGAUAAGCCUGGGAAACUGGGUCUAAUACCGAAUACACCUCACUGACUGCAUGGUCUGGUGGGGGAAAGCUUUUGCGGUGUGGGAUGGGCCCGCGGCCUAUCAGCUUGUUGGUGGGGUGAUGGCCUACCAAGGCGACGACGGGUAGCCG